RNAcentral lists this Y RNA (102 nucleotides) under Propithecus coquereli (Coquerel's sifaka). RNAcentral's name for it is "Y RNA (ENSPCOG00000002898.1)". It matches the Rfam family "Y RNA". From Rfam's summary of the family: Y RNAs are components of the Ro ribonucleoprotein particle (Ro RNP), in association with Ro60 and La proteins. The Y RNAs and Ro60 and La proteins are well conserved, but the function of the Ro RNP is not known. Lineage: Eukaryota; Metazoa; Chordata; Mammalia; Primates; Indriidae. The record is from Rfam by way of RNAcentral.
GGUUGGUCCAAGUGCAGUGGUGUUUACAACUAAUUGAUCACAACCAGUUACAGAUUCCUUUGUUCCUUCUCCACUCCUGCUGCUCCACUUGACCAGCCUUUA